Molecule: long non-coding RNA, 399 nt
Filed under: Felis catus (domestic cat)
Lineage: Eukaryota; Metazoa; Chordata; Mammalia; Carnivora; Felidae
Description: lncRNA (ENSFCAG00000049125.1)
Source: RNAcentral
UGUGGCUCAAAAGGGAUAGAACUUGAAAAGCUGAUAAUCUGACCCUACAAUCCAGCACAAGUAGAUGAGCAAGGGAAGGGAAAUUGGCUAAGAAAGCCAAGGUCACAUCUUGGGGUGCUCUCAGGGAGCUCCAUUAAAAUACCUGGGAACUACAUGAGAUAGAAGAAAAGGCCAAACCUAAACAAAGGUAUAGAUCUGAGAGAGAAUUGGAAUGGCAGAAGGACUAAAUUAACAGAAGGCUUUGCACCAGCCAACAGAGAUGCUGUCAUGCAGAGACAGGAAGCGUGUUCUUACAGCAGUUACCUGUCAGGUUGAAGGUUAUUGAAAACCAGCAAGUCAAGAGUGAACAAGUGGCAUGGGGCUCUGUAGGACCAUGGAUAGAGAAAGUGGACAUUCCUG